AGUCGCGGGGUACGACGGAGAAAGCUUGCUUUUUCCGGGCGACGACCGGCGCACGGGUGAGUAACGCGUAUCCAACCUGCCCUAUACAAAGGCACAGCCCGGCGAAAGUCGGAUUAAUGCCUUAUGAAGUGAGAAGGAGACAUCUGAUUUUCACUAAAGCUGAGGCGGUAUAGGAUGGGGAUGCGUCCGAUUAGGUAGACGGCGGGGUAACGGCCCACCGUGCCGACGAUCGGUAGGGGUUCUGAGAGGAAGGUCCCCCACACUGGAACUGAGACACGGUCCAGACUCCUACGGGAGGCAGCAGUGAGGAAUAUUGGUCAAUGGGCGAUAGCCUGAACCAGCCAAGUAGCGUGAGGGAAGACGGCCCUAUGGGUUGUAAACCUCUUUAGUCCGGGAAUACAAGUGGGCGACGUGUCGCCUAUUGCAUGUACCGGAAGAAUAAGGACCGGCUAAUUCCGUGCCAGCAGCCGCGGUAAUACGGACAGCGUCCGGGCGUUAUCCGGAUUUACUUGGGUUUAAAGGGAGCGCAGGCGGUCUGAUAAGCGGGCAGUGAAAGACGGUGGCUCAACCAUCGAGGUGCUGUCCGAACUGUCGGACUUGAGUACGUGCGAGGCAGAGCGGAAUUCGUGGUGUAGCGGUGAAAUGCUUAGAUAUCACGAAGAACCCCGAUUGCGAAGGCAGCUUGCCAGUGCGCCACUGACGCUAAAGCUCGAAAGUGCGGGUAUCGAACAGGAUUAGAUACCCUGGUAGUCCGCACGGUAAACGAUGGAUGCUCGCUGUUCGUUGCGUUUAUAGUGAUGAGCGGCCAAGCGAAAGCGUUAAGCAUCCCACCUGGGGAGUACGCCGGCAACGGUGAAACUCAAAGGAAUUGACGGGGGCCCGCACAAGCGGAGGAACAUGUGGUUUAAUUCGAUGAUACGCGAGGAACCUUACCCGGGCUUGAAUUGCAGCUGCAUAGACCAGAGAUGU
This 969-nucleotide ribosomal RNA is filed under the name uncultured bacterium. RNAcentral's name for it is "bacterial SSU rRNA". It matches the Rfam family "Bacterial small subunit ribosomal RNA", at positions 60 to 1009 of the family's 1533-position model. The record is from RNAcentral.